UUGGUUAGAACUGACGCCAGUCGCCUCAGGACGAGACGGCGCCCCUGGCUCGCGACGCCGGCAGCGAGCGCAUUACCGGCAGACCCAGUCUGCCCGGCCUCCAGGAGGCCGACGGGACCUACAGUCAAC
This is a non-coding RNA of Pseudomonas monteilii, 129 nucleotides long. NCBI's taxonomy places the organism in Bacteria, Pseudomonadati, Pseudomonadota, Gammaproteobacteria, Pseudomonadales, Pseudomonadaceae. The record is from Rfam.